CUAUAUCCAAAAUCAAACCAAUGGAUAUGGUGUCAAAUACAUUCUAUCACCCUCCUGAUUCUUGAUUGAAGGGAUGUAGGAGGCAUUGUUUACACUACAUCCAGAUCAAUGACUAUGAUCUAAAGAUCGAUACACCAAGAAAGGUGUAGCCUAAAAACCAAGAGUGCAAGUCAAGUCAAUGAGAUGUAUAUCCAAGAGAACGAGAGCUAUCGGUCUAGGAUG
RNAcentral lists this long non-coding RNA (222 nucleotides) under Elaeis guineensis (African oil palm). Its description in RNAcentral is "long non-coding RNA (EGUI_LNC007658)". The record is from RNAcentral. Lineage: Eukaryota; Viridiplantae; Streptophyta; Magnoliopsida; Arecales; Arecaceae.